GAUGAACGCUGGUGGCGUGCCUAAUACAUGCAAGUCGAGCGAACGGACGAGAAGCUUGCUUCUCUGAUGUUAGCGGCGGACGGGUGAGUAACACGUGGAUAACCUACCUAUAAGACUGGGAUAACUUCGGGAAACCGGAGCUAAUACCGGAUGAUAUUUUGAACCGCAUGGUUCAAAAGUGAAAGACGGUCUUGCUGUCACUUAUCGAUGGAUCCGCGCUGCAUUAGCUAGUUGGUAAGGUAACGGCUUACCAAGGCAACGAUGCAUAGCCGACCUGAGAGGGUGAUCGGCCACACUGGAACUGAGACACGGUCCAGACUCCUACGGGAGGCAGCAGUAGGGAAUCUUCCGCAAUGGGCGAAAGCCUGACGGAGCAACGCCGCGUGAGUGAUGAAGGUCUUCGGAUCGUAAAACUCUGUUAUUAGGGAAGAACAUAUGUGUAAGUAACUGUGCACAUCUUGACGGUACCUAAUCAGAAAGCCACGGCUAACUACGUG
This 497-nucleotide ribosomal RNA is filed under the name uncultured bacterium. RNAcentral's name for it is "partial 16S ribosomal RNA". It matches the Rfam family "Bacterial small subunit ribosomal RNA", at positions 28 to 507 of the family's 1533-position model. The record is from RNAcentral.